Molecule: ribosomal RNA, 211 nt
Filed under: uncultured bacterium
Lineage: Bacteria
Description: partial 16S ribosomal RNA
Rfam family: Bacterial small subunit ribosomal RNA
Source: RNAcentral
ACAACCAGCCGAAAGGUUGGCUAAUACCGCAUGAGUUCUACGGAAGAAAGAGGGGGACCCGCAAGGGCCUCUCGCGAGCGGAGCGGCCGAUGACUGAUUAGCCUGUUGGUGAGGUAACGGCUCACCAAAGCAACGAUCAGUAGCUGGUCUGAGAGGACGACCAGCCACACUGGGACUGAGACACGGCCCAGACUCCUACGGAAGGCAGCAG